ACGAACGCUGGCGGCGUGCUUAACACAUGCAAGUCGAACGGAAAGGCCCUGCUUUUGUGGGGUGCUCGAUUGGCGAACGGGUGAGUAACACGUGAGUAACCUGCUCUUGACUUUGGGAUGACUUCAGGAAACUGGGGCUACUACCGGAUAGGAGCUCCUGCAGCAGGGUGGGGGUUGGAAAGUUUCGGCGGUUGGGGAUGGAUGGGCGGCUUAUCGGCUUGUUGGUGGGGGAGUGGCUUGCCAAGGCUUUGACGGGUCGCCGGCCUGAGAGGGUGACCGGCGACCAUGCGCCUGCGAGACGGAGCAGACUGGUACGGUAGGCAGUGGUGGGAAGUAUUGCCCAACGGGCGCAAGUGUGUUGAGACGACGUUGCGUUCGGGAUGCCGGCUUUUGGGUUGUGAACAGCUGUCGCCUGUGACGAAGCGUGAGUGACGGUACUGGGUAAAGAAGCACCGGCUAACUACGUG
RNAcentral lists this ribosomal RNA (467 nucleotides) under uncultured bacterium. RNAcentral's name for it is "partial 16S ribosomal RNA". It matches the Rfam family "Bacterial small subunit ribosomal RNA", at positions 29 to 507 of the family's 1533-position model. The record is from RNAcentral.